This 433-nucleotide ribosomal RNA is filed under the name uncultured Gammaproteobacteria bacterium. Its description in RNAcentral is "bacterial SSU rRNA". It matches the Rfam family "Bacterial small subunit ribosomal RNA", at positions 42 to 479 of the family's 1533-position model. The record is from RNAcentral. Lineage: Bacteria; Pseudomonadati; Pseudomonadota; Gammaproteobacteria.
UCAGGCCUAACACAUGCAAGUCGAGCGGUAGAGAAGGAGCUUGCUUCUUCUUGAGAGCGGCGGACGGGUGAGUAAUGCCUAGGAAUCUGCCUGGUAGUGGGGGACAACGUUUCGAAAGGAACGCUAAUACCGCAUACGUCCUACGGGAGAAAGUGGGGGAUCUUCGGACCUCACGCUAUCAGAUGAGCCUAGGUCGGAUUAGCUUGUAGGUGAGGUAAUGGCUCACCUAGGCAACGAUCCGUAACUGGUCUGAGAGGAUGAUCAGUCACACUGGAACUGAGACACGGUCCAGACUCCUACGGGAGGCAGCAGUGGGGAAUAUUGGACAAUGGGCGAAAGCCUGAUCCAGCCAUGCCGCGUGUGUGAAGAAGGUCUUCGGAUUGUGAAGCACUUUAAGUUGGGAGGAAGGGUUGUAGCUUAAUACGCUGCAACC